AACGUAGGUACCGAGCGUUAUCCGGAUUUACUGGGCGUAAAGCGCGUUCAGGCGGUUUGGCAAGUCGGGCAUGAAAUCUCUCGGCUCAACCGGGAGAGGUUGUCCGAUACUUCCAGACUUGAGGGCAGUAGAGGGUGGUGGAAUUCCGGGUGUAGUGGUGAAAUGCGUAGAUAUCCGGAGGAACACCAGUGGCGAAGGCGGGUCUCUGGGCCGAUACUGACGCUGAGGAGCGAAAGCGUGGGGAGCGAACAGG
Molecule: ribosomal RNA, 253 nt
Filed under: uncultured bacterium
Lineage: Bacteria
Description: partial 16S ribosomal RNA
Rfam family: Bacterial small subunit ribosomal RNA
Source: RNAcentral